UUCCUCAGUAGCUCAGUGGUAGAGCUAUCGGCUGUUAACCGAUUGGUCGUAGGUUCAAAUCCUACCUGGGGAGUC
RNAcentral lists this transfer RNA (75 nucleotides) under Dictyurus purpurascens. RNAcentral's name for it is "tRNA-Asn". It matches the Rfam family "tRNA". Rfam says of the family: Transfer RNA (tRNA) molecules are approximately 80 nucleotides in length. Lineage: Eukaryota; Rhodophyta; Florideophyceae; Ceramiales; Dasyaceae. The record is from RNAcentral.